GGAGAGGUGGCUCAGUGGUUAAGAGCACUGACUGUUCUUCCAGAGGACCCGGGUUCAAUUCCCAGCACCUACA
Molecule: transfer RNA, 73 nt
Filed under: Rattus norvegicus (Norway rat)
Lineage: Eukaryota; Metazoa; Chordata; Mammalia; Rodentia; Muridae
Rfam family: tRNA
About the family: Transfer RNA (tRNA) molecules are approximately 80 nucleotides in length. Their secondary structure includes four short double-helical elements and three loops (D, anti-codon, and T loops).
Source: Rfam by way of RNAcentral